Molecule: microRNA precursor, 87 nt
Organism: Tribolium castaneum (red flour beetle)
Lineage: Eukaryota; Metazoa; Arthropoda; Insecta; Coleoptera; Tenebrionidae
Source: Rfam
UUUGAUCCGUUCUUGAUGGGUUCGGGUCUAGUGGCACGGUUUUUUCAACUUCGUGACUAGAUCCACACUCAUUAAGGAAGUUUCACA